RNAcentral lists this long non-coding RNA (2444 nucleotides) under Harpegnathos saltator (Jerdon's jumping ant). RNAcentral's name for it is "uncharacterized LOC105189529". Lineage: Eukaryota; Metazoa; Arthropoda; Insecta; Hymenoptera; Formicidae. The record is from RNAcentral.
GGUAGUGAAACAUCUACUUUAUCAACCAUAGUAGUUCCGUUUUGUUGUAAUUCGUUUUCCGCACCUAUCGAGGGCGACACAGGUCGUUCAUCUACUUGCGUUAACCUUGAUCUCGGUUCCUCUGUUUUCGGAGAGAGAGACAGAGAGAGAGAGAGAGAGAAGAAAUUCGGUGUACGAUGAAUUUAUCGUAUUAUACACAAAACACUCGUCCGUCAAUUUAAAAGCCAGGCACAAGAUUACAUUGACAAACGCACGCGAACGUUGUCAGGAAACGGAUCGCGCACUCGGGUCACUCCGUAGUUACCGCGCAGUAGUUACCGGAAACAGGCUGGCGAUGUCGCACCAUGAAGAAGAAGGUGGCUGGUCGUUGUGCAGCAGCGUUCGAAGUUUCUCGGACAUGAUCGGGGAUAAAAAUAUUUGGAAUAUACACAACACGCGAGGACUACGACGUCAACGACGACGACAAUGAAGACACGACGUUGAUCCCAAACGCAGGCUCACCCGACGACUUCUGACCGUGAGUUACGAUGACCGCCAUGAAAUCGCAAGUGCACGGUAUAAUUGAUGUAGAAUGACCUUGUGCGACGCGAUCGACCGCACUUGCAAGAAGUUACCAAGCAUACCGCUCCACUAAGGAACACUAAGGAACACGAGCACACAUGUUUUUUAUUGUCAACAUUGAAGAAACCGCUCGCGAUUCACUUUAUCCAUUCACGCUGACGAUGCGACGACUGUCACGGUGAACAUUAUGGAUGCGGAUAUUCAAGUCCAUCGAAUCAUAUGAGCUGACCUAUUGACACAUUGACUGCCGAUAUGCCAACGAUGAUACAUUGAUACAUCGCAGCUCGUGUAAGACAAACAUCAAAGACUAUCUUGGAUUAUAUAUGGAUGAACGUUCCGAAGAGCGGCUCGUCGCUUCUCGACGGAGGAAAAUGUCAUAACUCUCAUAUGUUCGUACGACUAAACAAAUUUCGCUUUCCGAGCUUCUGUGCUGGACAAACGCUUCGUUAAACGCGUAUCAAGUCGGUGCAAGAGGUUCUCACCGUGUUUGUCGGAUAAAUUAGGAAACGUGAUUAUCCAAUUUCGAAGGAUCGGCGAUUUUUACGCAAUGAAAAUACAUAACAUGGACCCGAUAGUUUUAGUUGUUGUAACGUGAGAAUAUUUCUUACUCUUAUUUUAAUACUCGGACUCUCCACGAGAUUUUGACAGGGAAAGGAUCAAUUUUUCGCAUCUCUAAACACGAAUUGCAAGCUUAAUUUUGCAAGUUCGACUCCAAGUUUAAUUACAAUUGCAAUUUUAGCCGCAAGCUCCCCGCAAACUAUGCAUUACCUCUCGCACCUCGACUCCGGGAUAUUGCGAUUUAUUGCCGAAUCAAAGCCGUGUGGUGCUGAUGUGGUACAACCAGUGAUUUACAUCUGUAUGACUCUCUCUUUCUUUUACACGUACACACACAUACGUUAACGCAUACGUGAACAGCUGCACGUGCGCGAGAACGGUACAUGUGUAAAGGUCGAUUCACACUAUACGGCACGUGGGCCGUCGCGUACCGGCAACGACACGACAAAUUGCAAAUGCAUAUGUUCAAUGCACUGUCCCGGUAACUGUCCGUCAAUUCGCUGAGUUGCAGUCACAAUGGAUGGAUCAUCCAGCGACGAUAAAUUGGCUCUCACAAUCUUAUUUUUAGACGAAGAGGAAGCCGAACUGAAAAUAAAAAUAAAAAAAAAGAAAUCGAAAAUGGGUACAUGCAAUGUUAAAAAAGGGAAAACUCGGAGGAGAACAUUGGACAUUGUUCAAAGACUUACUAAACUGUGACGACAAGUUUUAUAGUAUUUUAGAAUGCCGCAAUUGUAAAUUGUUAAACGAUUUGUUAAAAAAUUAAUUGAACCUGUACUACAGAAACAAAAUGCAUCGUCCCGUGAGGCAAUUUCACCGACAGAAUAUUAACACUUUCGCUUAAUUUUUCCUGCUCCAUCCUCUGCUGCGUCCGUUUUCUAUUUUUCUUUCUAGCUUUCUUCUGACAAGUAACACUAGAGAAGUGCCGUACGGCGGUUUUCCUGAAACUUGGCAUACAAGUAGUACGUGGAAAACUAUUGGACAUGUAUAUUGUUAUAUCGGCCCGAAAGCCGUUUGAAGGGUAGAAAUCACCCUUAUCGAUUUUGGAGGAUGAACGACGUGGACGUGAUAGGGUUCUCUCAUCCCAUUGGAGUGCUUUUUGAACGUGAGUCCCCUCGCCUCAUAAGGUGCCUGCGUACGUGCCUCGUAUCGUACAAGCGACCCAGGCUCGAAUCCUACCCUACGGAAAGUUUUUUUAUUUGUUUUUAAAUUUAAGUGCGAGCGUUAAAAAAUUUACAAUUUGUGUAUAGGAAAAAAUGUUAAUUUGUAUGGAGAUUGCGUUAUAAAUAACUGUAUAUAGACGAAAAGAAAUCAAUUUAAAAGAAUUAAUU